This 119-nucleotide small nucleolar RNA is filed under the name Arabidopsis lyrata subsp. lyrata. RNAcentral's name for it is "snoRNA Plant_U3". Lineage: Eukaryota; Viridiplantae; Streptophyta; Magnoliopsida; Brassicales; Brassicaceae. The record is from RNAcentral.
AUUAACAUAGAUUGGAAAAAAUUAAGGUCUGUUCUAUAGGCUCGUACCUCUGUUUCCUUGAUUUCUAAGGAGACAGGCCCUUAACCCUGGUUGAUGAACCAUGACCGUGCGAUCAGAGC